AGCGAACGCUGGCGGCAGGCUUAACACAUGCAAGUCGAGCGGGCAUAGCAAUAUGUCAGCGGCAGACGGGUGAGUAAAGGGUGGGAACGUACCUUUUGGUUCGGAACAACUGGGGGAAACUUCAGGUAAUAACGGAUAAACCCUUAAGGGGAAAGAUUUAUCGACGAAAGAUCGGCCCGCGUCUGAUUAGCUAGUUGGUGAGGUAAUGGCUAAACAAGGCGACGAUCAGUAGCUGGUCUGAGAGGAUGAUCAGCCACAUUGGGACUGAGACACGGCCCAAACUCCUACGGGAGGCAGCAGUGGGGAAUAUUGGACAAUGGGCGCAAGCCUGAUCCAGCCAUGCCGCGUGAGUGAUGAAGGCCCUAGGGUUGUAAAGCUCUUUUGUGCGGGAAGAUAAUGACGGUACCGCAAGAAUAAGCCCCGGCUAACUUCGUGCCAGCAGCCGCGGUAA
RNAcentral lists this ribosomal RNA (451 nucleotides) under uncultured bacterium. RNAcentral's name for it is "partial 16S ribosomal RNA". It matches the Rfam family "Bacterial small subunit ribosomal RNA", at positions 29 to 523 of the family's 1533-position model. The record is from RNAcentral.